Molecule: unclassified non-coding RNA, 239 nt
Filed under: Hevea brasiliensis (rubber tree)
Lineage: Eukaryota; Viridiplantae; Streptophyta; Magnoliopsida; Malpighiales; Euphorbiaceae
Source: RNAcentral
GAUUCACUCUUGUCCAUUGUGCAGGUACAACUUAAUCCCUGUAAUUUAACUAGUAGCAUGUUUCUUCAAUUGGAUGUAUUGAACUUAAGAAAAAUCCAUUAUCUUCUGGUCUUUAUGUCUUAAUUGCUAUCUGAGAUUUGGUGGGAUUCUUUUCUUUUGUGACAUUGUUCUCUGAUUUGUCUGUGCCUUUUCAUGACGCCUCUCAUAUAUUAUCAUGCAGAUGCCAAGGGGUGUUCCAG